AUAAACUCCACAUCAAUGUCACACAUUUAAAAUAUUAACAUAUCAAAUCUUAUAUCUUAUCUUAUAUAUAUAUAUAAAGGAGGUUCCUAGCAAGGGUGACGUGGCAUCUCCCACGGCUUUCCUUUCAGAUUGUUUUGUUUUUAUAAAUUGCCUCUCGGGAGGUCCAUGACUACGUAGAAUCGCAAUCGCAGUCGCAAUGAACCGGGAUUUUGGGAGCAGUUUGUCGAUUCUAGCUUCAGGUUGAUUUGUAGCGACUGGAUUGACUGACGCCGCUGGAAUUAUUUGGCCAAGGAUUUUUAUCCCGAGGGUAUCUUGCACCGCAAAAAUGUUUCUGAGAAGAUGCUAUUCAUCGUUUUCUCAUCCAUUGCGCGUCUACGUCGCUUGAAGCGGACCUGCUGGUUUUUACACUGCUGAAAAGGUUGAAGUUAAAAUAGAAGAAAAUUGGAGGCUGGAUGCAGGGCUUUUAAGACAUUAUGACUAUGCUGGUCAUAUCCAAGCUUAGCAAAACUUCAUUCAAAUGUUAUGAUCUACUUGGAAACAAAUUGUCAUUCAUUGUGAAUCAUGAUAGCCGGACUGAUUCAGGAGUUUCCAAUCACACAAGCAUAGGCAGACUUCGGAAAGUGAAAGUCUUGAUGUUGUAACCUGUAAGUAGCAAGAUCAGACAAUUUUUGUAAUAAGCAGAAUGCUUAUAUUUUUCCCUGGACGGCCAAAAAAAUGUUGUAGCUUGUAAGCUGUGUUCUAAAGAUCGGAUUGUCUUUGUAGUUUGUAAUGAGCAUAAUGUUUAUAUAGCUCACAAGGCUGUGUUGUAUUGUUCA
Molecule: long non-coding RNA, 815 nt
Organism: Daucus carota subsp. sativus
Lineage: Eukaryota; Viridiplantae; Streptophyta; Magnoliopsida; Apiales; Apiaceae
Exons: 4
Source: RefSeq, a predicted model, not a curated record